CCAAUGAUUGAGGGCCCUGGGCACCCUCCUUCUGCUCCUGUGGGUAGAAGAGAACCCUUCGGUCACAUGGAUGGUCAAUUUGGUCCAAGAAGACCCCCACCUGAAACUUCCACACGAUUUUCUGGCCCUGAACGUGGACUUCCACCUCCAUUCAGAGCAGAUGUUGGAGAAUGUGCCCCACCAUUGAUUUCUAGUGGCCCAAGGACUUCCUCGCCUAGCAUUCCAUUGGAUGACUCGGUAAGUCAGCGAGAUGGUUUGAUAACUAGUAAUACAACAUAAGUUGUCUCUUCUUGUAUCUCUGUCCUGUAUUUUUUCUUUCUUCAUUCACUUUUUCCUCUUCUGUUCAAAAGCAAAUCCCUGUUGAACCUCAGGCUUUAUCUUCUUCCCCACCAAAAGAACCAGCUACUGUGAGUAUACAGAGCAGGGUUGCAUGGUGUAUGUAACUAAUUGUGGGGACUGAUAUGCUUUAUAAAAAUGUAUGUAUUUAUAUGGGGAGCACACCAGAAAUGUGGAUUAUAACAUACACCACUAACGGAAGAGGGCAUGGUUCAGCAGCUUUUCCCAAGUGCACCUGCUUUGUUUAAAUUAAGCCAAGUAAUUGAUUUUUUUUAAUUCAUUUUUUUAGAUGAACUCUAAAGCUGAAGAUGCACCAUCAUUUCCAGGGGCUCCGAUCAUGAAUUCACCAGUGACCGGUCCUGCACAUCCACCACCAUCAAAAGGAUUUGCCCCUCCACCAAUGACCAGACCUCCCAACGGAUAUGGCCCUCUGCCCUUCGCUGGGCAUCCUCUACCUGUCCCAGGCCCUCGCUACAGACCUCCACAUCCAGUUAGAGGACCCUAUGGUCGCAUGCUAUAUGGGCCUGCUCCGCCCUGGAGUGGUUGUGGACCACCUCCACCGCACAGAGACUAUUGGCCAGGACCUCCCCCUCCAUUUGGCUUAAGGGAUUUUGCACCUGGAAUGAGAGACUUGCCCUCUGGUUUUCCACCACCACAUGGACCUUGGGACUAUCCCUUUCCACCCAAAAACAUGCUUCCUGGGACUGUUCCUCCACCAGGCAUGAGAGACUAUCCAGGCCCACAAGGUCCACCACCACAGAUGGGUCCCAGAGACUUCAAAGCAGGCCCCCCAGUACCACAACAGAUGAGCCCAAGGGACUAUCCUCCAGGCCCUAGUUUGCCAACACAACAGAUGCAACCCGGAGACUUCUCAAAUUCACAGAAUGGGCCAUAAAUUUCACCUAAUGGUGGUAUUUUAUUCAACUAAGCAGAGCAAAAAACUG
RNA transcript from Polyodon spathula (Mississippi paddlefish), 1280 nucleotides. It is a transcript of the gene named proline-rich protein 2-like, with no coding region annotated. Lineage: Eukaryota; Metazoa; Chordata; Actinopteri; Acipenseriformes; Polyodontidae. The transcript is spliced from 4 exons. The record is from RefSeq and is a predicted model, not a curated record.